UUUUAAAAAAAAAGGCCUAAUCGAUUACUCUUUAAUUCUUAAGAGUUAAGACUUUACUUACUUUACCCUCACUCUCUCAGACCUAAUCUAAGUAUUCUGUCGAUUUCUUCUCUUCUCUUCACAGCCAAAUCCCGAAGUUCGUUUUCCGACCUAUGGAGAGCAAAGUUCAGGGGCUUUGGUUAUGAUUUGGUAUGGAGGUUUGCUUGGGGUCCAUCGUGGAUGUGCCA
RNAcentral lists this long non-coding RNA (227 nucleotides) under Panax ginseng (ginseng). Its description in RNAcentral is "long non-coding RNA (PGIN_LNC002747)". Lineage: Eukaryota; Viridiplantae; Streptophyta; Magnoliopsida; Apiales; Araliaceae. The record is from RNAcentral.